GCAUGAAUUCUAGGCAGGUUUAAAAAGAACUAACUAAAUACAAGAGAAGCAUAUAAUAGACCUUGAAAUUCCCCCUUAACAAUGAACGAAUACUGAUGACUUGUGAGGUUGAUAUAGCUUAAAACAAAAACAUUUCUCUCAAGGGAAGUUUAACUCAAUAGUCUCUUACAAGCUUAUUCUAUAGAGAAGUCAGUUUUUUUAAUGCUACCAAAAGCCAUUUCAUAUCCCCUCCCACACAAGACUUUCUUCCUGAAUUUGUGGGAAGGAGGACAAACUAUAGAACUCCCUAUACCUUGACAGAUGCAGAUGGUAUUUACCUCAGUACAAUUGACAGCAGAAUUUAUGGCGCUAAAGGACCUGAGAAAUUUGACAGCGGCUUCAUAACGAAUGGAUGUUCUAGUAGCUCAGCUGCAGUUGGUCGAUCAUUUGGAUUAACUCGCAAACAGCUUUUUAUGAAAUCCUGAGCUUCUGUCGAUAAGGUAUCUGGUAUAGGAGGAGGUUCACCUCUGCCUAUCCUGAACAGUGCUUGCAUCCCUUCCAAGUGAGAAUAAGGAAUUUGUCCAGUUAACAUCUCUAAGACAGUGCAACCCAAACUCCAUAUAUCAGCAGGAGUACCAUAUCCAUUGCUCUUCCUAUUAACAACCUCUGGGGCCAUCCAGAAUGCAGUUCCUUUGCAAGACUUGAUGUUAUUCAUUUGCGUUGCCUUUGCCAGUCCAAAAUCUGCAAGCUUCACUGAACCAUUAGCAUCCACCAAUAUAUUGGCACACUUAAUGUCCCUGUGCAUCACUUCUCUGGAAUGAAGAUAAUGCAACCCACUCAAGAUUUGCCUGGUGUAAUCUGAAACAUGGGAAUCACGCAAGCGAUACUUGCGAUAGACACUAGCAAGUGAACCUUUUGUAACAAGCUCAAGAAAGAUAUACAGUUUGCUCUCGUCCUUGUUUGUGCCAUGAUAGCGAACUAUGUUUCUAUGUCGAAAACGACUUAGAAGAGAAAUUUCCUGUUCAAGUUGAAGAAGGCUUUGUUGGUUUCCUGGGUCAAUCAACGAAACUUCUUUGACGGCAAAAAAGAAUCCAUCAUCG
This 1079-nucleotide unclassified non-coding RNA is filed under the name Hevea brasiliensis (rubber tree). Lineage: Eukaryota; Viridiplantae; Streptophyta; Magnoliopsida; Malpighiales; Euphorbiaceae. The record is from RNAcentral.